CAGGACAUCUUUGCUGUUGGCAAGGACAGAGGAAUUGUAUGCAAGUUUGCUGACAACACCAAGCUGUGUGGUGCCAUCGACAUGCGGGAGGAAAGGGAUGCCAUCAAGAGGGACCUUGACAGGCUUGAGAGGUCGGCCUCUGUGAACCUCAUGAAGUUCAACAAGGCCAAGUGCAAAGUCCUGCAUCUGCAUCAGGGCAAUCCCAAUCACAAAUACAGGCUGGGCAGAGAAUGGACUGAAAGCAGCCCAGGUGGGAAGGACUUGGGGGGUGUUUGUGGACAUAAAACUCAACAUGGCAGCCAGCAGUGUGUGCCCACAGCACAGAAAGCCAAACAUACCCUGGGCUGCAUCAGAAGCAGGAUGGGCAGCAGGCUGAAGGAAGUGAUUUUCUCCCUCUGCUCUGCUGAGACCCUGCCUUGAGUAAUGUGUCCAGCUCUGGGGUCCUGAGCAAAAGAAAAUUUCUGACUUCUAGAAUGAGUUCAGAGGAGGGCCCAUGAGUGGAUCACUGGGCUGGGGCACCUCUCCUAUGAAGACGGACUUCACAGACAGAAGAAGACAGGCUAUGAAGACAGAGUUGGGGCUGUUUAGUCUGGAGAAGAGAAAGCUCUGGGGAGACUUUAGAGCAGCCUUCCAGCAUCUGAAGGGGAUCUAGUAGAGAGAUGGAGAGGGACCUUUUACAAGGGCAUGUAGUGAUAGGACAAUGGGGAGUGGCUUUGAGUUGAAAGAGAGUAGAUUUAGAUACCAGGACGAAAUUCUUUACUCUAAGGAUUGUGAGGGUCUGGCAGAGGUUGCCCAGAGAAGCUGUGAACUUGCCAUCGUAGAUCCAGGCUGGAUGGGGCUCUGAGCAACCUGGACUACUGGAAGGUUCCCUGCACAUGUCAGGGGGUUGGAACUAGAUGAUCUUUAAGGUCCCUUCCAACCCAAACCAUUCCAUGAUUCUAUGAUCAUGAAGACAUAAACAGCAUCAGUAUGUGAUUACAUUUUUUAAUUUAAAUAGGAGGUGUUAAUCUACUGAUUAACAUUGUCAUAUUUCAACUUUGUUAGCUGGAGGCUGUUUUCAUGUGCUUCUCUAUUAGUUUUAUAAGGGAGGAAAAAAAAGAUGAAAAAAAGCCUACUUAUACUUCUACUUUUAAUUAAUGUGAAAGCAUUCAUGGGAAACAUGCAAUAUUUUAGUGCUGUGCUGUGAUCCUGACUUGUAUUCACUUCAGCAAGUGAUGAAUUAAGAUGUAAAGUGAAUGCUCUUUUUGACUGAAAUGCAGCACAUGGAAAACCAACUCUGUCUUUAAGUGCAGCCUUUCUGUUUUUCUCAUGUUUCAUAUAACAAUGAUAAGAGGCAGCAGGUAUCUCUUGGUCACUAAUUUCUUGUAUUCGUCAGUUUUUCUGAAAUAUAUUUAUGGUCAUCCAAACAGAGCACUUCUUUCCUAGCUGCAUCAUAAUCAAGCCUUCAAAAAUGCUUUCUAAUUGGCUUUCUAACUCCAUAUUUCUUACAUUAAAAUUGAUUUGUUUUCCAAAGCUCAUCUGAGAUUGAUAAUCUUUCUCUGUAACCGAAAUCCAUUUCCCUGGCUAUGAGUUCCAAUUGCUUUCACAUCACCAUUAACUGCUGUAUUAGUUUGUGUGCAUAUAAAACUGUUUGAACUAAGUUAUUUCUGUGUGUUUGGUUUAACCUGUCAGGUUGAACACCACACAGUUGUUCACUCACUUGCCCACAGGGAUGAGGGACGCAAUCAGAAAAUAGGUAAAACUUGUGGGUUCAGGAAAAGACAGUUUAGUAGAAUGGAAGAGGAAGGAAAAAUAGUAGUAAAAAUGAUAAUAAUUGCACAAAAUAAUGCACUAUGCAAUUUCUCAACACCCACUGACCGAUGCCCAUUCCAUCCCAGAGCAGCAGCUGCUGCCCCCCAACUAAUUCCCCCCAGUUUUAUUGUUCAGCAUGAUGCCAAAUGGUUUGGAAUAUCCUGCUGGCCAAUUGAGGUCAGCUAUCCUGGCCGUGUCCCUUCCCAGCUUUUUGUGUCAUCAUCCUUUCUAUCCGGGAAGAAUGAGAAGCAGAAAAGUCCCUGACAGUGUAAGCACUGCUCAGCAACAACAAAACCAUCAGUGUGUUACCAACAUUAUUGUUAUCCUGAAUCCAAACCACAACACUGUACCAGCUACUAGGAAGAAAAUUAAUUCUAUCCCAACCAAAACCAGGACACUUGCAAUCAAGUAUAGU
Sturnus vulgaris (Common starling) is the source of this 2206-nucleotide non-coding RNA. NCBI's taxonomy places the organism in Eukaryota, Metazoa, Chordata, Aves, Passeriformes, Sturnidae. The record is from RefSeq and is a predicted model, not a curated record.